UAUUUUCAUUUUCGUCUUUUGCUCUCUCUCUUUUUUGCAGAGAGUUAACCCAAGUUUUCUCUCAGAAUCAAAACCAACCCAGAGAUCUCUUUAGAUUUACUAACCAUAUGAAAAAUCUAAUCAAAACCCACAAAUCUCGAUCUAUUUUCUAAAAAUCUGAAAAAAUUCCUAAACCUAGAAAAUCAAUUUUGUUCCUGAAAUCCAAAAUCAAUUCAUGUGAUAGUUGGUUGCUUUGUUGAUCAUCAUCAGGUAUAAACCAAUAUCUACUACUACUGUUGUUUAAUUUUGAUUUCGUUGGGUAUCUUUUGAUCUAUUAUUUGACCUAACUCUGUGAAGUUGGAGUCUUACUGCAUGUAUAGUUUUUGGUGUUCUUUUUUUACAUUAUGUAAUUUUAAAGCAUGGGGUGUAUUUAAAUUUCAGUUUAUUGAAGUUGUUUUGAUGUUUUUAAGUUACGGGAACCAUAGUACUGAUGUUCCAUUGACAGAUUAGAAAAGGUCGGAAGUAAACGGUGUAAAUGCUGAAAACAUCACAUUUCAUUUCACAGAAAGUAAAGAAAGGAGGGGGUCCCCAUUUUCAGUGGAUAUACGCUUUGAAUCUGGGUGGGUCCCUUCCUUGUCUUCCCAAACACAAUCAUAAUGGUGGUUCUCACUUUCGUUGUACAAUAAUGAAGAACUGGUAGGGCCAAUUAGCAGCUGAGCUUUGCAUGCUUUUGUGCACUCUUCUAAUUUACCUUUUCAUGCCUUUUUUCAGUAAGAACUGGUAUCACCAAUAAUACCAAACAAACAUUGCAUUCAUAGUCAGACCAAUUGCGGCCAAUUCAGAUUCACUGGUAUCCAUGUACAAUUUGGGUUAAGAAUUUGUACUCAAGGGAGUAUCUCCCUUUCAUUGGAGAUAGAAUUGUGUAUAUGUUCACCAGUAUCCAUCCAAAACUCCAAAAGCCUCUCUGGUUUUGUAUUUGGGCACCCUCACUUUAUUCUUACUUAGCUUACACUAGUUCUUACACUUUAUUCUGUGGGAGAUUAUGCUUGCAAAUUCUCUACUAGGGCAGAAGAUCUAAUCAGAAGUCAUGUUCCAGUUAACUUCGCUAAGUGGAGGACCGUGCCAGAUUAUUUUAAAGAUGAUGUUUGGGCAGCUUUGAUGGUAUUUCUACUAUUCUUGGAAUUGCCUUUUGUCAUAUAUAAGUUAGAAACAAAGGUUGCUUCUAUUCAUUGUAUCUUUGAAUCAAGAGAUCCAUGAGUAUUUAGUUCAAAUGGAUGCAAAGGUGAAUGCAGCUACCUUUUUACAGAAUAAUUGGGAUCUACUCCUGACUUAGUUUCUUGCAAAUAAAAAUUGGCGUGUAAAAUGUUGUUCGCCUAGAUGCAAGUAGUCUUGCAUGGACUUUUUAGCUGUGGUCUUGCAUAUAUCCUUCAAUUGGUAAGAGAUCUAUCAAAAUUUGGCUUCUUCAUCGAACGACACAAAGAAAAAAAAACACUUGCUAUUAUGCAAAAGUGUGUGUAAAUUGUCCUGUUUUAUGUCGUUCCGUUGUUUUUACAUACGUCAGUUUUCACUAAUUGAAAUGAAAUUGGUUGUCCACAGGACCACAGCCAGUAGAGCUUUGGACUGGGAAACAGCUGUUCAGCGUUCUAAUUCGCCCUCAUGCUCAGAUGAGGGUCUUUGUGAAUCUUACUGUUGCGAAGAAAUCUUACUAGCAGGGCAAAGAAACAUCAUGCUCUAAAGAAGGAUUUGUCUAUAUUUAGAAGAGUGAACUCAUUUGUGGGAAAGUUGGUAAAGCUACUUUAGGUGGGUUCCUUUACCUACUCAUAUCUAAAUUAUUGCAAAAUCUGCAUAUUUUGUUUCUUCUUUUUUAUUUGUCUUCUGCAAUAUUUAUCGUCAUGUGAUAUAUUGCAAGUGACAUAUUUAGUUUGGAUGGAUUAGGUUUCGUAUUGGUUUGUGUCAAGUAGCACUGUUAAGCAUUAAGGGAUUCUAUUUUAAGGAAUCAUGUUGUAUCAAAAGAUGUCACUGGCAUGAGAACUCCCACAUCUUACAGAGUUCCACCUAUUUAAAAUCUUAAAAUGGAGUUUCUGGUUAAACAAGUGACACGGAACACCUUCAACUAUGUCUGGGAUUGGUAGGUGGUGAUUGGGAGUACAUACAUCGGCUUAUAUUAGUUAUACCCACCAAAGUUAAGUAUUUCAACAGAUAAGCAAACCAUUUUACGGAGAUUAUCACUUUUAUAUACAAGCUUGGUCCUCCUUUGGAUUAAUUUCUUGAAUCAAUCAUUAUGUCCUGUGUAGUGUGUACCACACAUGUUGCCCGUUUGCUGUUCUUGAAUGGGCACUUUGAGAUCUUCUCUUCCUAUCGUGGGAUUGGAUGGAAAAGCUUAUGUCGUGCAACUAUGUUUUUGUUUUGUUGAUUUUCUAAACUUCCCAGGAUUUCUUUCCCUCUGAAUUCACCUCCAGGAAAUGGCGGAUUUUUUUUGUUCUUCUUAAAGAUUACAAUGUACAUAUUGCUGCUUGUAUGAACCUUCUAGCAAAGUUGAGUGCUCACUGGAUUGGGAACCAUGGGUUCUCGAUUGGUAUUGAUGAUAUCCAACCUUGAAAGUAUCUAAGUAAAGAAAUACAAGAUAGGAUCAAAAAGGAAAAACAAAUAAAUGAUGCACUUGUUCAGAAAUACAAAAAUGGGACACUUUAAAUUCAACCAGGUUGUGAUCUGUUCAAAUAUUGGAACUUGAGCUAACUUAUCUUCUGAAUGGCUUGAGAGAGAAAACUUGAAAGGUUUGUAUGGGAACCGAAGAAUAAAACAAAAUUGUAAGCGAAAAAAGUAAAACUACAUUGGUGAAACAUCCCUCUGAUUAUGUUGCAGUGCGGAUCCAAUGCGUCCCCCGAUAAUAUCAGUCAGAUCAUUGCAUGUGUUAGUCAGCAAUCAGUUGGGGGUCGCUCUGUAUUUUUCUUAAAAACCAUAUGUAAAGUAGGAUCUGCCUCUCUUUUUUAAUGUGGUUUUGAUCCCGGUCUCAUUUUUUGUUGUUGCUGGUGUAGGAUAUUGUUUUUGCUGAAUACUCACCCAAUAAGGCUUGGACUUGCUCUUAACUUCUCAGUGUUUUCCUAUGAAAUCCUGAAUUCACCAGAUCAUGAUUGCACUCUAGCUAAGCAGAUGUACGCAGUCGAUGAUGGAAGGCAAUUGCAGGUUAUGUUUCCAUAUAAGGUGCCAAUACCCUCCGGUUCUGUGUUAUCUUAUCUACCAUUAACACAUUGAAUUUUACCCAAAGACAAACAUUGUUUACCAAGAUUGAUAUUAAUGCUCUUCCAGCAUUGGUACUUCUCAUUAUACAAUAUAUGUAAACAACUGAAGGUAUUCUUAUGAACUAACUUUCAUAUUGCCAAAUUCAGAAACUUGGAUUCUUGACCAAAGUUCAUAUUUAUCUUUGAAUCAACCAAAUAAUUGUAUGGUUUAUUAUAGUUCAUCUGUUA
Molecule: long non-coding RNA, 3446 nt
Organism: Papaver somniferum (opium poppy)
Lineage: Eukaryota; Viridiplantae; Streptophyta; Magnoliopsida; Ranunculales; Papaveraceae
Exons: 5
Source: RefSeq, a predicted model, not a curated record